GUUGGAAAAGAGCUGACCUGCAGCUUAGAAACUCUAUCAUGAAUGAAAUGCAGCAGCAAGAAUGAAGAAAUGCAACCAAACACAAGGAAAGAGACCCAUUGGUUUUUUAUUAAGAAGGGAAAAAUAUGCUAUUAAUAGUGCUGGGGCCUCCAGCCACCAGGAAGUGGAGAGGACCUGGGGAAGCAGCACAGCCUAGACCGUUAAUCCACCUUGGAUGGUAACAAUUUAGUCAUUUUUACUGCUUAUCCAUGAUCAAAUUUGGAGAUCAUGCCAAAAAAGGUAGAAGAGCAAAAGGAAGAGGAGUCGCAAAGCAAGGGGCUAGGAGACCCUCACAGCAGCAAGGACUAUGAGAAACAAGGAGAUGGUAUGUUAUGACCGACAUAAUAUACAAGGUUUAUUAUGACUAACAGUGUCCCACACUAGGGGAAAGAGCUCCGUGGGUGCACUCUCACAUAGCAUGUGUUUGC
RNAcentral lists this long non-coding RNA (467 nucleotides) under Apteryx rowi (Okarito brown kiwi). Its description in RNAcentral is "lncRNA (ENSARWG00000013531.1)". The record is from RNAcentral. Lineage: Eukaryota; Metazoa; Chordata; Aves; Apterygiformes; Apterygidae.